GUGUCAGCAGCCGCGGUAAUACGGAGGGUGCGAGCGUUGUCCGGAAUCACUGGGUGUAAAGGGUGUGUAGGCGGGACUGUAAGUCAGAAGUGAAAUCCCACGGCUCAACCGUGGAACUGCUUCUGAUACUGCAGUUCUUGAGUAUCGGAGAGGUUGCUAGAAUUCGUGGUGUAGGGGUGAAAUGCGUAGAUAUCACGAGGAAUACCAGAGGCGUAGGCGGGCAACUGAACGAUUACUGACGCUGAGGCACGAAAGCGUGGGGAGCAAACAGGAUUAGAUACCCUGGUAGUCCACGCUGUAAACGAUGGAUGCUCGAUGUCGCCCCUUUUUUGGGGCGGUGUCUGAGCUAACGCAUUAAGCAUCCCACCUGGGGAGUACGCUCGCAAGAGUGAAACUUAAAGGAAUUGACGGGG
Molecule: ribosomal RNA, 413 nt
Filed under: uncultured prokaryote
Description: bacterial SSU rRNA
Rfam family: Bacterial small subunit ribosomal RNA
Source: RNAcentral